This 496-nucleotide long non-coding RNA is filed under the name Canis lupus familiaris (dog). RNAcentral describes it as "lncRNA (ENSCAFG00805014072.1, ENSCAFG00845020508.1)". Lineage: Eukaryota; Metazoa; Chordata; Mammalia; Carnivora; Canidae. The record is from RNAcentral.
UUCUUGAUUACAUUUUCAGUAUGAAGGGAGACUGGGAGCUGAGAUCAAAAGUUCCAAAAGUAUCCAAAUCUCAUGAUUAGAGAUCUAAAGGAUUCCUAAAGUCACUUAAGCCCUCCUCCCAGAUGCCAUCCGCUGGGCCCAGGCCAUGAAUCUUCUCAGAAUGUUAUCCUAAAGGCCUCCUGUGAGAAUGGGGAAAAAAAAGAGCAUGAGUUGUUCCUCAUCCUCAAGAAGAGCUCCCACUAUCACACAGCCUGCUGGCCGCGUGCUGUUCUGCAUGGGGCACUCUGCCAGGUACCUUUACCUACAUUCUUCCUUUUUCAUAUUCCUUAUUGGAGAACAUCACAGUAUUGGUGAUUUUGAAGAUAUUAUAAGGUAACUAUCUGUAUGUCUGUCUCUCUCAGAGAGAGAGGCAGUGUGAGCUCCUAGAAAUCAGGAGCAACAUUUUUUUUUAACUGCUCUUCCCCACAGGGUGCCUAACUUAGAAUCUUGCUUAAAU